AUCAUUGUUGUUCUUAAAGGGGUGCUGCACUUGGUGUUGGAGUAACUUCUUGUAACCAUCCCAAGUCCCAGUUCUUGAGAAUGUUUACUGGAAGGACCUCAUCCUUCUUGUCUUUGUCUGGAUUGCAUUCCUUGCACUACAGAUUGCCAAGAAUUACACAGCAACCUGUUUGAUAGCAUACUGGGUUUUGAACUUAUUGCAGGAGUUUCAAUCUGCAGGAAUUGUUGGAUUUGGGUGAAGCACUUGGAACUCACAUCCAAGGUCUUUCCCAAGAGCGUAUCUCUUCACUUCCAAUCUUAA
Long non-coding RNA from Magnolia sinica, 300 nucleotides. RefSeq lists it as uncharacterized. The record is from RefSeq and is a predicted model, not a curated record. The transcript is spliced from 4 exons. NCBI's taxonomy places the organism in Eukaryota, Viridiplantae, Streptophyta, Magnoliopsida, Magnoliales, Magnoliaceae.